Molecule: non-coding RNA, 30 nt
Filed under: Homo sapiens (human)
Lineage: Eukaryota; Metazoa; Chordata; Mammalia; Primates; Hominidae
Source: RNAcentral
UGCAUAGAUGGGAAAACAUGAACUUAUAAA